RNAcentral lists this ribosomal RNA (1430 nucleotides) under uncultured organism. RNAcentral's name for it is "16S ribosomal RNA". It matches the Rfam family "Bacterial small subunit ribosomal RNA". The record is from RNAcentral.
GCGGCGUGCUUAACACAUGCAAGUCGAACGGAAAGGCCCUGCUUUUGUGGGGUGCUCGAGUGGCGAACGGGUGAGUAACACGUGAGUAACCUGCCCUUGACUUUGGGAUAACUUCAGGAAACUGGGGCUAAUACCGGAUAGGAGCUCCUGCUGCAUGGUGGGGGUUGGAAAGUUCCGGCGGUUGGGGAUGGACUCGCGGCUUAUCAGCUUGUUGGUGGGGUAGUGGCUUACCAAGGCUUUGACGGGUAGCCGGCCUGAGAGGGUGACCGGCCACAUUGGGACUGAGAUACGGCCCAGACUCCUACGGGAGGCAGCAGUGGGGAAUAUUGCACAAUGGGCGGAAGCCUGAUGCAGCAACGCCGCGUGCGGGAUGACGGCCUUCGGGUUGUAAACCGCUUUCGCCUGUGACGAAGCGUGAGUGACGGUAAUGGGUAAAGAAGCACCGGCUAACUACGUGCCAGCAGCCGCGGUGAUACGUAGGGUGCGAGCGUUGUCCGGAUUUAUUGGGCGUAAAGGGCUCGUAGGUGGUUGAUCGCGUCGGAAGUGUAAUCUUGGGGCUUAACCCUGAGCGUGCUUUCGAUACGGGUUGACUUGAGGAAGGUAGGGGAGAAUGGAAUUCCUGGUGGAGCGGUGGAAUGCGCAGAUAUCAGGAGGAACACCAGUGGCGAAGGCGGUUCUCUGGGCCUUUCCUGACGCUGAGGAGCGAAAGCGUGGGGAGCGAACAGGCUUAGAUACCCUGGUAGUCCACGCUGUAAACGGUGGGUACUAGGUGUGGGGUCCAUUCCACGGGUUCCGUGCCGUAGCUAACGCUUUAAGUACCCCGCCUGGGGAGUACGGCCGCAAGGCUAAAACUCAAAGGAAUUGACGGGGCCCCGCACAAGCGGCGGAGCAUGCGGAUUAAUUCGAUGCAACGCGUAGAACCUUACCUGGGUUUGACAUGGAUCGGGAGUGCUCAGAGAUGGGUGUGCCUCUUUUGGGGUCGGUUCACAGGUGGUGCAUGGCUGUCGUCAGCUCGUGUCGUGAGAUGUUGGGUUAAGUCCCGCAACGAGCGCAACCCUUGUUCACUGUUGCCAGCACGUUAUGGUGGGGACUCAGUGGAGACCGCCGGGGUCAACUCGGAGGAAGGUGGGGAUGACGUCAAGUCAUCAUGCCCCUUAUGUCCAGGGCUUCACGCAUGCUACAAUGGCUGGUACAGAGAGUGGCGAGCCUGUGAGGGUGAGCGAAUCUCGGAAAGCCGGUCUCAGUUCGGAUUGGGGUCUGCAACUCGACCUCAUGAAGUCGGAGUCGCUAGUAAUCGCAGAUCAGCAACGCUGCGGUGAAUACGUUCCCGGGGCUUGUACACACCGCCCGUCAAGUCAUGAAAGUUGGUAACACCCGAAGCCGGUGGCCUAACCGUUGUGGGGGAGCCGUCGAAGGUGGGACUGGUGAUU